Bactrocera dorsalis (oriental fruit fly) is the source of this 5485-nucleotide long non-coding RNA. RefSeq lists it as uncharacterized. The record is from RefSeq and is a predicted model, not a curated record. NCBI's taxonomy places the organism in Eukaryota, Metazoa, Arthropoda, Insecta, Diptera, Tephritidae. The transcript has 2 exons.
UUAUAUGAGAAUAAUAAAAAGUAAGGAAAAAAGUGGGGUUCAGAAACUUUAUUCUUAACCUCAUUCUCUUCUGCCAAUUACCACAAUUUUAGAAUCGUCAAAUACUAGUAGUAUGGUAUGUAGGAAAAUUAUACAUACGUAUUAUAUAUUAUUGUUUGUCUAAGGGAAGCUGUAUCCAAAAAUUCCUUUCGAUGAAAAUUGUAGAUUAUAAAAUUAUCUGUAAACAAUUACGGAAGACCUAAGCUGAGGUGUGACCUAAUAUUUUAUACUCUUGUAACAACAAAGGUCAAAGCUGGCUAAUACUAUUCAUAUGGUAAAAUUAAACCAAUUUUUCUUAAAAUAAAUGAAAUAUAAUUUUAAUAAAUUGAAAGAUCAGAGCCUACUGUCCCGGUUUUUUCUCUACGACCCUUCGAAUACAUUAAAUAUUAUUAUACACGUGGACUUUAAUAUAUGAAAAUACGUUAUUUCCGGUAUAAGAAUCCAAAGGAUUGUACUUGAGGUUUAAUUUUGAAAAUUAUUAAUUGCAAAUAUUAUGAAUUUUUCAUUGGAAUUUUACUGAAAAUUUUAUUUUGUUUUCUUGGUUCUUAAAUUUUGAAAACAUGCUAAUGUUUACAAAUAUAUUUUUUUACUCUUGUAAAAUUUUGCUACAGAGUAUAAUAAUUUUGUUCACCUAACGGUUGUUUGUAUCAUCAAAAAAUAAUCGAGUUAGAUAUAGGGUUAUAGGCCGUCGGUGCAAGCUAUAACGUUACUAAAAAAUUAGAUUUAUCCAUGAAAAAUUAAUACACGCAUUCCUUGCCAAAAAAAAUUAAAGUUCUUAGAUGGGCGUAAUCCUACCACUGCCACGCCUACAAAUUGCCAUUAACCGAAAACGUAUAAAAUGCCAUAACUAAGUACUAAAUAUCAUCGCAUUGAGCAAACAUGUUUGAAAAAGUGGGCAUCGCCCUCUAAUAAGUUUAAUGUACAUAUCUCCUUAAUCGCCCAGUACGAAUAUUAUAAGAACUCCUAUCGACAGUGUAAAAAUUGAUGAAAUCGGAAGAUAAUCCCGCUCACUUCCUAUAAUAUAGCAUAGUACCGUUACUGUUAAAAACUACUAAAAGUGUAAUAAAUCAAUAACAAUACCCCAGAGACUUACAUUUUACCUCUGAGAUGGUAUUAGAGAGCUUUAUGGAACCGGUGUGAAAAUUGGACCUUUGGACGUGGCAUCGCCCACUUUAUGGUAAAAUUCUAUAUUUCGGGACUCCACCGACUGAUUUGGACAAGAUUCAGUUUUUUUUUUUUAAUUCCAUUGAUUCUUUCACUUUCCAGUACACAAAUCAAGAAGCAAUUAAUAUAACGGGAUAAAAAUUUUCACUAAUAAUUCAUAUGAAGUAACCUUAUGACCGACAUUUUCAAAUCCAAUAAAGAGAUACCGAAAUACCUAAAGCUGACUUUUGAUACAAAAUAUCGGUCAAUGUGUGAGAUAUAUAAUGGAAAUUCAUAAUAUAAUCCUUCUCUGGCAAUGGUAUGUCUGAAUGUCAAAAAUGGUUUGAAUCGGGCCAAUACUUCUCUUAGCCCCCAUAUACCUAAUAUAAAGAUUUUCGAACUUCGACUUUGUACCGCAUAUAUCGGCUAAUAUUUCAGUUAUUUCAAGUAAAAUGAGAGAGCGUGUUUUACUCAUUACAGUGUGUCUUUGUGCCUAAAAUAGAUAAAUUUUGACGAAAACUUGUCCUAUUGUCCUAUCCCCUAUUUAACAAAUAUUAGGAUUUUCGAACAUCCGGCUGACUUUAUUGUAUAUGAUUGCUUGUUUAGUAUGUGGCGUUUUAUGUAUGUGGUAUUGGAAAAUAUCGAUAAAAUCGGUUGGGUACUACCCUAAAUUAUAUAUACUACUUUAUAUUGAUCUUUGUUUUUCUAACCUUAUGUGUCUGUUAGUGUAUGAGUUAUGUAUAAAAUAUGUACAUAUAUAUUAACUUUCUUUGAUUUCGAUCCUCUGGUUGACGAUUUACACAUUAAAGUAAUUCCCCUUUGAUUCUUGUAUGUUGUAAGAGUAUAAAAUGUUUGGUUGCGAACUUAGCUCUUCCUUACCUGUUAUAUACAUAGAUAGAUCUUCCCGUCAACGAAAAUUAUAUUAAUUUGAAAUUGGUCGAAAAUAUGUGAUUUCACACUAAUGUGAGCGGUGCCACGACCAUCGUCCAAUUUUGACUUCGACUCUUUUUUAAAGCCCUUUCACCAUCCAAGAUGUAAAUUAGGGUAAUACAGCUUUAACAGUUUGAAAGAUAUCGUACAGUAAACCUAUUAGGGGGCGGAGCCAGAAACACAGGUAUCCCUUGUUAUUGUAUCUCAUUGUACCAAGUCACAGUUUUGUAUAAGCAGCAAGGCUUAGUUCUUUUCAAUUUCCUACUGAGUCCAAAUUAGCACCUGUUGGAAAGAGUUAUUCUGCGUUGAUUUCGAGGCUGACAUUGUUGUUGCUGUUAAUGCUAUAUCCAAGAUAAACGAAAUUAUCUACAAUUUCGAAGUUAUGACUGUCAACAUAGCCGUGAAUGCGGCGACUGAUUGUUUGAUGACAGGAGAUAUUUUGUCUUGCCCUCGUUCAUUGCCAAACCCAUUUGCUUUGCUUCCUUAUCCGGUCUGGAGAAAGCAGAACUAACGGCGCGGGUGUUGAUGCGAAUAUAUCAAUAUCAUCGGCACACGCCAGCAGUUGUACACUCUUAUAGAAGAUUGUACCUGCUCGAAUGAGUUCUGUGGCCCGAUUAAAGAAGUCGCACGAUAAGGUGUCGCCUAGUCUGAAACCUCGUUUAAUAUCGAAUGACUAGGAGCGAUCCUUCCCGAUUCUGACGGAGCUUUUGGUAUUGCUCAACGUCAUUUAAACAGCCGUAUUAGUUUUGCUUGAAUACCAAAAUCCGAUAUCGUGGCAUAAAGACCGCUCCUUUUCGUGCUGUCAAAAGCAGCUUUAAAAUCGACGAAGAGGUGGUGUGUGUCGAUUCUCUUUUCACGGAUCUUUUCCAAAAUUUAGCGCAUGGUGAAUAUCUGGUCAGUUGCUGAUUUUCUAGGCCUAAAGCCACACUGAGAAGGUCCAAUCAGUUUUUAGUUGGUGGACUUUAAUCUUUCGCAUAAUACGCUCGAUAGAACCUUAGCGAUACUGAGGAUCCUUAUCCCAGGGUAGUUUGUAGAUUAAGCAGCGCACACUUAAAUCCCAAUCUUUGGGCAUGCUUUCGUCCAACCAUAUUCCACAAAGAAGCUGAUGCAUGCUCCUUUUCAGUUCUUCGCCGCCGUGUUUGAAUAGCUCGGCCGGAAAUCCAUCGGCAUCCAUCGCUUCGUUGUUCUUCAGACAAGUAAUUGCUAUUCGAACUUCUUCAUGGCCUGGCAAUGGAACGUCUGCUACAUCGUCAUCGAUUGGGGAAUCCGGUUCGCCUUCUCCUGGCGUUUUCCCUCCAUAAUUUUAGCAUGCUUUGGGCAUCGGAUACUAGAUCGCCUUCGGGGGAUCUACAAAAGUAUGCUCCAUUCUGGAAACCUUCUUUUAGUCGCCGCAUUUUUUCGUAGAAUUUUUGAGUAGUAGCCCUGUCGGCCAGCUUGUCCAGCUCUUCAUACUCACAUAUUCCAGCCUCUCUCUUUUUCUGUCUGCAAAUGCGUCUCGCUUCUCUCUUCAACUCUCGGUAUCUAUCUCAUAGAAAACAUCCGUGGUCACAUCGUCCUUCCCUUCCGUCGGGACGUGUGCGCAAAUCAGCGAUAUGUUGAAGAACUUCGCUUUGAUGCGCAUUUCUUGGACGGCGGUGAUGUCAGACUUUACUCUAACGAGAAUAUCAACCAGUUGGUACCUUCCCAAUUAAGGGACCGGACAUUCCAAGCGCAUGCUCUUAAAUCGUUAUCCUUAGUGCGUUUGCCAUGGUCGUCAUCAAAAAGGGGGUCUCUCAUCCGAGGCUUAUUGUUCUUUUUCAUUGGGGGCGUUUUUUACGUGGGUGUCCCAAAGAUACGCCUUCAGCGGGAUGUUCUUAGUGUACCCAAAGAAUACUUGAUUUAGGACCGGAAGUAGUGAGCUGCUUGAGCCAUAUUAAAAAGAAUAACUUCUGGCCACUCCCAAGUGAGUGGCAAUCAGAAAACUUUCCUCACUUGCGUGAACUUCUACACAUGACUCCAUCCUCUCAAGGCAAGUUUUUGUUAUUUAUAGGUUUUUGAUUAAUGUCGUUUUGUGGGCGUGGCAGUGUUCCGAUUAUGCCAAUUUACGUCCUCCCGAUUCGACCAAGAAACACUUGUAUAAAUUUUCAUGACGAUAUCUUGAUUUUUACCGAAUUACAACUUUACACCAAAUUACAACUUGCACAGACGGACGGACGGAUAAACAUUCUAUUAGUUCUAUUAGUUUCGACAUCCUGAUGAUUUAUAGCCAUUUAUUGCCAAAAUUAACCAACUAGAAGCGGAAUUCGUAGUUGCUGUUCGAGUGGCGAUGUUUUGGUAACAAUCGACUAUAUAGGGGCUGCCGGAUUAUGCAGGAGCAACAGUUAUAAUUAGAGUGCUGCUUAGUAAAGAUCUUCAAGCAAGAAUUUGUAUACCCGAAUAACCAAUAAUAAACGUUAAGUCAAUCCAGUGAUCGAACUCAAGAGAAGUUACGCGAUAGAUGAUUUAUCGUAAAAUCCGUUACAAUUGGUGUCAAAAGUGGGGUUGUCUAAUUAAUUUCCGAAGAGAUAAUUGUUAAAAUCGCUAAGUUUAAGGAUCUGAAGAAUCUACAACUGAAAACGGUAACUGGAGCAAAGUGUGUUUGCAACUAAUGGAAUAAAAGCCGAAUUACAAUCAUAUUUGGAAGAGGCUAUGAAGGCGAAAAGCAUUAAUGCCGCGGAAUAUGUCUUUAAAUUUGAAUAAGAGGAAGAAGCUCAGUGUUCAUUAAAAGUUAUGAACAUGGACACGUUUUUGGCGCAGGAGUUAAGGAGUUACAUGGGUUUCCUAGGGCAAAAAACGGCCUUUUUUCCAUAAUUUUUUUGACACAUAAAAAAUGGAAUAUUUUAAUGAUUUUUUUUUAUUUAAAAGACUCAUAUUUAAUAAACAUUUUGUAAAAUUAAAAAAAAAUAUCAAAAUGGCAGUCAUUACGACGCCAUUUCCGGCAGUCCCUCGGAAAAAAGGUGCAUCCGCGUUGUCAGCAGAACUUCUUUCAGGAUCAUCUGAAAGAAAUAAAAAAUACAUGUUUUAGUAAAGACAAUAAACUAGGUAUUGGACGAAGGAAAAAAAAAUAAAAUUGGAUUUUUGGCAGACGUUUUUAUAAAAAAAUGCAAAUUUCAAUGAAAAUUUCUCGUCAAUUUUUAUUUAAAUAGUUGUAAUUAAAAAAAAAUCCUUCGUUCCAGAAAAUUUCAUCAAGAUCGGUUUAGUAGUUCGCGAGAAAUCUUGACAACCGACUUUGAAAACAUAUUUUUGAGAAAAACGCGUUUAAAGAUGGCGCAGUUAGCCUAGCUAGCUGCAAGCGCACAAGUUCUCAAAGGCUGUAUCUCCGAAACUAUUAGUCGGAUCAACUUGAAAAUUUAGG